This 494-nucleotide ribosomal RNA is filed under the name uncultured bacterium. RNAcentral's name for it is "partial 16S ribosomal RNA". It matches the Rfam family "Bacterial small subunit ribosomal RNA", at positions 28 to 507 of the family's 1533-position model. The record is from RNAcentral.
GACGAACGCUGGCGGCGUGCUUAACACAUGCAAGUCGAACGGUGAAGCGCCUUCCUUUUUGGUGGGUGUGGAUGAGUGGCGAACGGGUGAGUAACACGUGAGUAACCUGCCCCCUUCUUCUGGAUAACCGCAUGAAAGUGUGGCUAAUACGGGAUAUUCUGGGUCUGUCGCAUGAUGGGUCUGGGACAGAUAUUGUUUCGGUGGGGGAUGGGCUCGCGGCCUAUCAGCUUGUUGGUGGGGUGAUGGCCUACCAAGGCGGUGACGGGUAGCCGGCCUGGGAGGGUGGACGGUCACACUGGGACUGAGACACGGCUCAGACUCCUACGGGAGGCAGCAGUGGGGAAUAUUGCACAAUGGGCGCAAGCCUGAUGCAGCGACGCCGCGUGAGGGAUGGAGGCCUUCGGGUUGUGAACCUCUUUCGCCAGUGAAGCAGGCCUGCCUCGUUUGUGGGUGGGUUGACGGUAGCUGGAUAAGAAGCGCCGGCUAACUACGUG